UGAGAGAACAGCUGGUAUAAAGAUAAAAGAGCUACUGUUUACCAAAGAUAGAUUCAACAGAACAGAGAUUCUUGGCCAACAGAAACUACUGGUACACAAGAUCCCAAAAAAACUAUCUGAGGAGCCAUCUUAUAGAAUAUUGAUAUGAAAGCAACUGUGCUACAGACUUCAUCUGAGCUUCACAGCAACAGUGACCUUCUAUCAAGAUAUAUGCUUGAACUGCAUCCACCCCUUGACCAAUAUCAUGUAUAUACUGACCUCUCCCUUACCUCUUUGGAACAGUUUUCAGAGCUCUCUGGGUUAUGAUCCUCAGGGUGGCACAGUAAUCCUCAGCACCAACAAACACCCAAUAGGCUGGCAUCCCAAGCAUCGUUCGUGACUCACAAGUAUCCGAUUAUUUAAAGCAGUGAAAUAUCACAUUUGGCACCUCUCCUGAGAGGCAGCUGCUGUGUUUAGCUGGUGUGGUGAGCAGUUGGUGGGCCCUGCCCACUGAGAGGCCAAGUCAAAAAUAAUCAGUGCCCACAUCAGCAGUCAAAACUACACAGUUUCACUGAAAUCCCCAAAUCUGUGGGACUGAUGUGGCCGAAACAGGAAACAGAAACCUGUGUGGAAAACAGAAAGGAAGACCACCUUUCCAGUUUGCUGGCCUUUUGGUCCCCUUAAAGAAGAACAGAUCACUUGUCUUUAUAGAAUUGGUCUGAAAUGCUUUGAAUCUGUGUCGAAGAUAUAUUACCAUCAUAAGUCAAAUGAAUGUAUUAUGGCCCAUUUAUUUCAAACCAAAAUAAAUUGUUUCAAUUUUUAGAGAAAAAAUACAUUUGCUAUGGAAAUUGGACAUUUUAAAAUAUUGAUUUAAUGUGGUGUAGAAUUUCCAAUAGUAAGGGUAUCUGUGGUUUCUAAGGCUCUUAAAAUAAUGUUUUGGAAGCUAGCUGUCUUCAUUUUCCCUAUCUGUAUCCAUGGCACAGCUAUUAAUCUUUG
RNAcentral lists this long non-coding RNA (975 nucleotides) under Capra hircus (goat). RNAcentral's name for it is "lncRNA (ENSCHIG00000007240.1)". Lineage: Eukaryota; Metazoa; Chordata; Mammalia; Artiodactyla; Bovidae. The record is from RNAcentral.